Molecule: ribosomal RNA, 369 nt
Filed under: uncultured bacterium
Lineage: Bacteria
Description: bacterial SSU rRNA
Rfam family: Bacterial small subunit ribosomal RNA
Source: RNAcentral
GUAGGGUGCGAGCGUUAAUCGGAAUUACUGGGCGUAAAGCGUGCGCAGGCGGUUCUGCAAGUCAGAUGUGAAAUCCCCGGGCUUAACCUGGGAACUGCGUUUGAAACUACGGAGCUAGAGUACGGCAGAGGGGGGUGGAAUUCCACGUGUAGCAGUGAAAUGCGUAGAUAUGUGGAGGAACACCGAUGGCGAAGGCAGCCCCCUGGGCCGAUACUGACGCUCAGGCACGAAAGCGUGGGGAGCAAACAGGAUUAGAUACCCUGGUAGUCCACGCCCUAAACUAUGUCAACUAGUUGUCGGGGAAGCAAUUCCUUGGUAACGAAGCUAACGCGUGAAGUUGACCGCCUGGGGAGUACGGUCGCAAGAUUA